GCCUACACAUGCAGUCGAGCGAUUCUCUUAGGACAAGAGCGGCGGACGGGUGAGUAACGCGUGCCUUUAAGGCCUGUACACACGGAUAACAUACCGAAAGGUAUGCUCAUACGGGAUAACAUAUUUUGAUGGCAUCAUCGAAAUAUCAAAGCUCCGGCGGUACAGGAUGGACCCGCGUCUGAUUAGCUAGUUGGUGAGGUAAUGGCUCACCAAGGCGACGAUCAGUAGCCGACCUGAGAGGGUGAUCGGCCACAUUGGAACUGAGACACGGUCCAAACUCCUGCGGGAGGCAGCAGUGGGGAAUAUUGCACAAUGGGCGAAAGCCUGAUGCAGCAACGCCGCGUGAGCGAUGAAGGCCUUCGGGUCGUAAAGCUCUGUCCUCAAGGAAGAUAAUGACGGUACUUGAGGAGGAAGCCCCGGCUAACUACGUGCCAGCAGCCGCGGUAAUACGUAGGGGGCUAGCGUUAUCCGGAAUUACUGGGCGUAAAGGGUGCGUAGGUGGUUUUUUAAGUCAGAAGUGAAAGGCUACGGCUCAACCGUAGUAAGCUUUUGAAACUGAGAAACUUGAGUGCAGGAGAGGAGAGUAGAAUUCCUAGUGUAGCGGUGAAAUGCGUAGAUAUUAGGAGGAAUACCAGUUGCGAAGGCGGCUCUCUGGACUGUAACUGACACUGAGGCACGAAAGCGUGGGGAGC
RNAcentral lists this ribosomal RNA (692 nucleotides) under uncultured bacterium. RNAcentral describes it as "bacterial SSU rRNA". It matches the Rfam family "Bacterial small subunit ribosomal RNA", at positions 46 to 769 of the family's 1533-position model. The record is from RNAcentral.